This 209-nucleotide ribosomal RNA is filed under the name uncultured bacterium. Its description in RNAcentral is "partial 16S ribosomal RNA". It matches the Rfam family "Bacterial small subunit ribosomal RNA", at positions 568 to 774 of the family's 1533-position model. The record is from RNAcentral.
CGCGCAGGCGGUCGUAUAAGUCGAAUGUGAAAGCCCCCGGCUCAACUGGGGAGGGUCAUUCGAUACUGUUCGACUCGAAGGCAGGAGAGGGAAGUGGAAUUCCGGGUGUAGUGGUGAAAUGCGUAGAUAUCCGGAGGAACACCAGUGGCGAAGGCGACUUUCUGGCCUGUUCUUGACGCUGAGGCGCGAAAGCUAGGGGAAGGCAAACG